Molecule: ribosomal RNA, 217 nt
Filed under: uncultured bacterium
Lineage: Bacteria
Description: partial 16S ribosomal RNA
Rfam family: Bacterial small subunit ribosomal RNA
Source: RNAcentral
UACGUAGGGUGCGAGCGUUGUCCGGAAUUAUUGGGCGUAAAGAGCUUGUAGGCGGUUUGUCGCGUCUGCUGUGAAAACCUAAGGCUCAACCUUGGGCUUGCAGUGGGUACGGGGCAGACUAGAGUGCGGUAGGGGGUGACUGGAAUUCCUGGUGUAGCGGUGGAAUGCGCAGAUAUCAGGAGGAACACCGAUGGCGAAGGCAGGUCACUGGGGCCGC